This is a non-coding RNA of Amborella trichopoda, 1431 nucleotides long. NCBI's taxonomy places the organism in Eukaryota, Viridiplantae, Streptophyta, Magnoliopsida, Amborellales, Amborellaceae. The record is from RefSeq and is a predicted model, not a curated record.
CCUUGAGCCACAAUGUCACAAGUUGGCUCUUAACCUUCAGAUCUUGAUCAGACGGCUCAUAGUUAUAUAUCAUUUCGAAGAAAAAAUUGUGGCGUGCAAAGAUCUGAUAGGGGCGCACAUGAUAAAAAUAAUAAUAAAAUAUUUUCGAUGAUGAAAAGUUACCAUAAUAUUUUCGGUGACGGAAUAUUUGAUUUUUAUUUUAUUUAGGUUCGCCCUAGUUUAUGAUGGGAUGCUCAAAAUUUCAUCCAAAAAUGUUUUGUAUAAAAAAAUGAAAAAUAAAACAGCUUUUGGCGUGACAUUGUGGCAUGAACAAUCGUAGCCAUCAAUUUUGAAUCAAACAUCUAAGAAGUGGGGUCACGUAUAACUUCUAUCUUGUUUGGGUCACAGAGAAAGCUUUCCCUAUCCAUUUUCACUUAGUUUAUUGAAUUAAUAGAAUAAGUCCUUUGUGUUAUUAUAAUAAACUUCAUGCGCGGGCAAUUAAAUCUUCCUUUGUUGGAAAAUGACUUUCCAUGUUGCUAUGACUUUCUUAGUUUUAUUAAUGAUGGUGAUAUCAUUGUUGUCUCAUUAUGCAUUUUCCUUUGAUUGCAAGAGGAACUUGUUGAUAGGAGUAAGUACUGGGAUGACUUGGAGGAAGGGGAGGAAUAGAUGGAAGAAGAGGAAUUGGAGUUUCCCGUAGUAGGCCAACUGGUGUGAAGGCACUUGACGUCAUUGAUCUUCGAAAGCAAUAAAGGAAAGAGCCAAGGAAGCCUAUUGACCAAAUGAGUACAUUGAAAGAUUUUGGGCACAAUCUUCUAGUACUCGAAGAGAAGGAAGAAAGGAUUGCACCAGGAACCUUACUUGGAACAACGCACAUGUAUGUGCUUGGGGCAAUGGAUAAAACUGGUGCUAAAAGGGUUGAGCUACUACUAGGACUAAGUAGAUGUCACUCUUUGGUUGGAAGAAUUAGAGGCUUUGGAUGAUGUUACUAUGGCAGCAAAGUAAGGAAGCAAGGGAAGAGGAGAAACUAUGAAAUCAACGCAAAGGACUUUAGUGACAUUGUGGCAGAGGCUAAGAAAAAGAGGAAUCGCAAGAUGUAGGAAAAAGAAAGGGAAGGCAAAUAAGAAGGAUUUCAAGUUUUAGGCACAAAGCUAUACAUCAAAUUUGCAUGCUCCCCCUCCCCCAUUGGAUAUAUUCUGUUUGGGGAAUAUACUAUGAACUCUGAAAUUUGAAAUAUCUGAUACAUUGGAAGUUCUUAUCGAUAUGUAAAAUGUGAAGUUCUUUGGUUGAUCUUGAGCCCAUCUUGGUUCGAUUAAUAAAUGGACAAGGCAGCUAGCUACUAUUGAGGUAGGAGUGAUGUUUAAAGGGAAUUUGAUUAGUGAAUCCAUUAUGAGAUCGUCAAAGAAUCUUAACAGUGCCUGAAGUUGGUGGAAAGUUAGAAGUUGUUUUAUUUUC